UGGGGAAUAUUGCACAAUGGGGGAAACCCUGAUGCAGCGACGCCGCGUGGAGGAAGAAGGUCUUCGGAUUGUAAACUCCUGUUGUUGAGGAAGAUAAUGACGGUACUCAACAAGGAAGUGACGGCUAACUACGUGCCAGCAGCCGCGGUAAAACGUAGGUCACAAGGCGUUGUCCGGAAUUACUGGGUGUAAAGGGAGCGCAGGCGGGAGAACAAGUUGGAAGUGAAAUCCAUGGGCUCAACCCAUGAACUGCUUUCAAAACUGUUUUCUUGAGUAGUGCAGAGGUAGGCGGAAUUCCCGGUGUAGCGGUGGAAUGCGUAGAUAUCGGGAGGAACACCAGUGGCGAAGGCGGCCUACUGGGCACCAACUGACGCUGAGGCUUGAAAGUGUGGGUAGCAAACAGGAUUAGAUACCCCAGU
This 419-nucleotide ribosomal RNA is filed under the name uncultured bacterium. Its description in RNAcentral is "bacterial SSU rRNA". It matches the Rfam family "Bacterial small subunit ribosomal RNA", at positions 355 to 791 of the family's 1533-position model. The record is from RNAcentral.